Molecule: ribosomal RNA, 253 nt
Filed under: uncultured bacterium
Lineage: Bacteria
Description: partial 16S ribosomal RNA
Rfam family: Bacterial small subunit ribosomal RNA
Source: RNAcentral
UCCGAAGGGGGCUAGCGUUGUUCGGAAUCACUGGGCGUAAAGCGCACGUAGGCGGCGCGUUAAGUCAGGGGUGAAAUCCUGGAGCUCAACUCCAGAACUGCCUUUGAUACUGGCGUGCUCGAGUGUGGGAGAGGUUGGUGGAACUCCGAGUGUAGUGGUGAAAUUCGUAGAUAUUCGGAAGAACACCAGUGGCGAAGGCGGCCAACUGGCCCAUUACUGACGCUGAGGUGCGAAAGCGUGGGGAGAAAACAGG